RNAcentral lists this ribosomal RNA (253 nucleotides) under uncultured bacterium. Its description in RNAcentral is "partial 16S ribosomal RNA". It matches the Rfam family "Bacterial small subunit ribosomal RNA", at positions 524 to 776 of the family's 1533-position model. The record is from RNAcentral.
UACAGGGGGGGCAAGCGUUGUUCGGAAUUACUGGGCGUAAAGGGUCUGUAGGUGGCUUGCUAAGUCAGACGUGAAAUCCCUCAGCUUAACUGGGGAACUGCGUCUGAUACUGGCGAGCUUGAGUGCAGGAGAGGAACGCGGAAUUCCAGGUGUAGCGGUGAAAUGCGUAGAUAUCUGGAGGAACACCGGUGGCGAAGGCGGCGUUCUGGACUGCAACUGACACUGAUGAACGAAAGCCAGGGGAGCAAACGGG